RNAcentral lists this ribosomal RNA (444 nucleotides) under uncultured bacterium. RNAcentral's name for it is "SSU rRNA". It matches the Rfam family "Bacterial small subunit ribosomal RNA", at positions 26 to 518 of the family's 1533-position model. The record is from RNAcentral.
AGAACGAACGCUGGCGGCAGGCUUAACACAUGCAAGUCGAGCGCCCAGCAAUGGGAGCGGCGGACGGGUGAGUAACACGUGGGAACAUGCCCUUUGGUACGGGACAACUCAGGGAAACUUGAGCUAAUACCGUAUGUGCCGGUAACGGGAAAGAUUUAUCGCCAAAGGAAUGGCCCGCGUCCGAUUAGCUAGUUGGUGAGGUAAUGGCUCACCAAGGCACCGAUCGGUAGCUGGUUUGAGAGAACGACCAGCCACACUGGGACUGAGACACGGCCCAGACUCCUACGGGAGGCAGCAGUGGGGAAUCUUGGACAAUGGGGGCAACCCUGAUCCAGCCAUGCCGCGUGAGUGAUGAAGGCCUUCGGGUUGUAAAACUCUUUCGACGGGACGAUAAUGACGGUACCCGUAGAAGAAGCUCCGGCUAACUUCGUAGCCGGCAGCCGC